RNAcentral lists this ribosomal RNA (502 nucleotides) under uncultured bacterium. RNAcentral describes it as "partial 16S ribosomal RNA". It matches the Rfam family "Bacterial small subunit ribosomal RNA", at positions 30 to 523 of the family's 1533-position model. The record is from RNAcentral.
AUUGAACGCUGGCGGAAUGCUUUACACAUGCAAGUCGAACGGCAGCAUAGGUGCUUGCACCUGAUGGCGAGUGGCGAACGGGUGAGUAAUAUAUCGGAACGUGCCCAGUCGUGGGGGAUAACGUAGUGAAAAUUACGCUAAUACCGCAUACGAUCUAAGGAUGAAAGCGGGGGAUCGCAAGACCUCGCGCGAUUGGAGCGGCCGAUAUCAGAUUAGGUAGUUGGUGAGGUAAAGGCUCACCAAGCCAACGAUCUGUAGCUGGUCUGAGAGGACGACCAGCCACACUGGGACUGAGACACGGCCCAGACUCCUACGGGAGGCAGCAGUGGGGAAUUUUGGACAAUGGACGCAAGUCUGAUCCAGCCAUUCCGCGUGCAGGACGAAGGCCUUCGGGUUGUAAACUGCUUUUGUACGGAACGAAAAGGUCUCUAUUAAUACUAGGGGCUCAUGACGGUACCGUAAGAAUAAGCACCGGCUAACUACGUGCCAGCCGCCGCGGUAA